AGGAGCAGGGGCCUAUGACAAAAGCCACAGAAGCCAGGGCCGGGUUACGGAAUUAAGAGGAAUCCCUGGAGGCAGCAGGGAGGUGGAGAGACAUGGGUCAGCCCAGAGUUUCACAGUGAGAGGGACCAGGAGGAGAGUUAAGCCAGAUGACCAGCUCAGCUGCAGCCACAGGCACAGCCUCAGGCUCUUGGCUAGGCACCACUGCAGCUGGCUUUUGGGGAAUCACGGCGGAAGGCACUGGCACAUCCGUGAGGCAAGGCCUCAUAGUGUCUGACAAUAGCUUCCAGCACUUCUGGAAAUCUUGAAGAGUCUUACACUUUUAAUCCUCCAGUCAUUAACUGUGCUAUGAGGACAUUCUGGUGAGGUGGUGGGAGUAAAAAGCAACUGUUUUCCUCACCCUUUAUAACCCAGUUAAGAAUUUGACUGACAGAAUGUUGGCACCAGCUGUGGCAGAACUGAUCAGCCUCAACUCCAAAUCUCUGUCCUGAGACAAAACAACAGGAUGUGCCUUGGAGAAGAAUCUCAGGAUAGAGUUGCUUUGAUUGUGUUCCAAACCUGCAAGCUCAGGGAGUUGGAAUUCACAAAGUUGAGGUGAGAAAUUCAGUGGACAGCAGAAAAAUCUACAAAGGUUCAAAG
Molecule: non-coding RNA, 636 nt
Organism: Cyanistes caeruleus (blue tit)
Lineage: Eukaryota; Metazoa; Chordata; Aves; Passeriformes; Paridae
Source: RefSeq, a predicted model, not a curated record